This 253-nucleotide ribosomal RNA is filed under the name uncultured bacterium. RNAcentral describes it as "partial 16S ribosomal RNA". It matches the Rfam family "Bacterial small subunit ribosomal RNA", at positions 524 to 776 of the family's 1533-position model. The record is from RNAcentral.
UACAGAGAGGGCUAGCGUUAUUCGGAAUUAUUGGGCGUAAAGGGCGCGUAGGCGGCCACGCGUGUCUUUCGUGAAAUCCCUCGGCUUAACUGAGGACGUGCGGAAGAAACUGCGAGGCUUGAGUCCGGGAGAGGGGGGUGGAAUUCCCAGUGUAGCGGUGAAAUGCGUAGAUAUUGGGAGGAACACCGGUGGCGAAGGCGGCCCCCUGGACCGGUACUGACGCUGAGGCGCGAAAGCGUGGGUAGCAAACGGG